Ursus americanus (American black bear) is the source of this 103-nucleotide small nuclear RNA. NCBI's taxonomy places the organism in Eukaryota, Metazoa, Chordata, Mammalia, Carnivora, Ursidae. The record is from Ensembl.
GCUGCGCACUCCAGCAGCACACAUACUAAAACUGGAACGAUACAGAGAACAUUAGCAUGACCCCUGCGCAAGGAUGACACACAAAAUCUUUUUAAAAAUUCAC